RNAcentral lists this Y RNA (101 nucleotides) under Microcebus murinus (gray mouse lemur). Its description in RNAcentral is "Y RNA (ENSMICG00000046048.1)". It matches the Rfam family "Y RNA". From Rfam's summary of the family: Y RNAs are components of the Ro ribonucleoprotein particle (Ro RNP), in association with Ro60 and La proteins. Lineage: Eukaryota; Metazoa; Chordata; Mammalia; Primates; Cheirogaleidae. The record is from Rfam by way of RNAcentral.
GGCUGGCCUGAGCGCGGUGGUGUUUAAAACCGAUUGAUCAAACCAGUUACAGAUUUCUUUGUUCAUUCUGCACACCCACUGCUUCACUUGACCAGCCAGGA